GACACGCUGGCGGCGUGCUUAACACAUGCAAGUCGAACGGUGACGAGGAGCUUGCUCCUCCGAUCAGUGGCGAACGGGUGAGUAACACGUGAGCAACCUGCCCCUCACUCUGGGAUAACAGUUGGAAACAGCUGCUAAUACCGGAUACGACACAGACAGGCAUCUGUACUGUGUGGAAAGUUUUCGGUGAGGGAUGGGCUCGCGGCCUAUCAGUUUGUUGGUGGGGUAAUGGCCUACCAAGACGACGACGGGUAGCCGGCCUGAGAGGGCGACCGGCCACACUGGGACUGAGACACGGCCCAGACUCCUACGGGAGGCAGCAGUGGGGAAUAUUGCACAAUGGGCGAAAGCCUGAUGCAGCGACGCCGCGUGAGGGAUGACGGCCUUCGGGUUGUAAACCUCUUUCAGCAGGGAAGAAGCGAAAGUGACGGUACCUGCAGAAGAAGCACCGGCUAACUACGUG
This 463-nucleotide ribosomal RNA is filed under the name uncultured bacterium. Its description in RNAcentral is "bacterial SSU rRNA". It matches the Rfam family "Bacterial small subunit ribosomal RNA", at positions 33 to 507 of the family's 1533-position model. The record is from RNAcentral.